AAAGAGGUCUAUUUUUGCACACAG
Molecule: microRNA, 24 nt
Filed under: Drosophila simulans
Lineage: Eukaryota; Metazoa; Arthropoda; Insecta; Diptera; Drosophilidae
Description: dsi-miR-2584-3p
Source: miRBase by way of RNAcentral